UCAUCUCGUAGGAGUAGUCGCGGACCACCGGCGUGUCCGGAUUGGCCGGCAUGUUGACCACGAGCGUGAAGUCGGUGUUGCGAUCGUAAACUUGGCCGUAUUGCAGGAUUUCCUGCCAGCCUGCGUUGAACCGCGCCGAGUUGGCCGUCGGUGGCAAUCGCGUGAGUUCGGGCGCGCUGAUCUGGAACGAUGCCUUGGUGCUUACGCUGGAGGGCUGAUCGAAAAAGCUCGUGACGCGCAUCACGACGAUGCCGAUGAGAGCCAGCACAAUGGUUCCCACCGCGUAGAAGGAAUACCGUACCGCCUUCCCGGCGUAACUGCCGACGGUUGAGAGAUGGCUGUGAUCGAAGGACAUUUCAAAAUUCCGGAUUGAUCG
This 376-nucleotide unclassified non-coding RNA is filed under the name Hevea brasiliensis (rubber tree). Lineage: Eukaryota; Viridiplantae; Streptophyta; Magnoliopsida; Malpighiales; Euphorbiaceae. The record is from RNAcentral.